CUUGUAUCCUCGACUAGAAUAAAUAGCAGGCUCAGCAUUUGGAAGGACGUUUCAAUUACUUUAAUCAGACACGCGUUAUAGUUAAAUUAAUGAUUACAGUUGGAGAGACUCUUACAACCCAAAUGUACUAUGAAUGUUUUCCUCAAGUAGAGAAUUAUUCUCAUUGUGAAUGUGUGUAAUCCAUGUAUCUCUCUCAGUAGGAAUCAACAGUUUGAAAAAUGUAUAAAGUAGCAAUGAUUUGUCCCUCUCAUGUUGUAUUAUAAGUCUAUGGUAUGAAACCCCUCCAGUCUGCUGCUGCUACUCGACGACCGCGACACCGGUGACGCCUGCGCUGCAUCCUGGUCACCAUGACGACCCGUCUUCCCCCUCUUCAGCCUGUCCCUCCAGGUAACAGGGGUGCGUUGUAGGGCUGGAGAGGGGGCAGGGGUGGAGGCUGGCCUCUGGUGUGGGGGUUCUUUAGUUCUCCUCAGCAGCCCCAGACGGGAGGGUUUCCUCUGGGCUUGUUCUGCUUCCUGCUGGCUCUGGAGCUGCUGCUGCAGGAUCCUCUGGAUGUCGUCCUGACACCUUCCAGGCCUCUAGUUCCAGUGAGAGCUCCAGUCGUUUCUGCACAGCCUCCAACAGCUGGUUGUUCAGUAACAUCAUCUCUGUCUUACUGCGGAGAAGCUCUGCCUCCAUGGCCUUCUUCCUGUUCAACAGGAAGGGAAAAAAAAACUAAACAAAACAUCAAUGUGUAAUUUUUCUACAGGAACAAUGCAGUUCCCUCUUAGAGGAGGCAUUGACACUUAUCUUUGCUGUGUGUGUGUGUGUGUGUGUGUGUGUGUACACGCACUUGUCCAUGGCAUCGUCUCUGUCCCGUAGUGCCUGUUGUAGAACAGCACUGUCAUCCAUACCAUUCCCUUUUUUAACCCAGAACUGGGAAUCCUGGGGAAAACAAAUCAAGAGAGAGUGGUUGGGAGAAAAAAGGCAGGUUUGUUUUAUUUAUAUUCACACAGUUAUGGAAUACAUUGACAUAAAAGGGUGUUUCUUACGAUUGAUGACAUCAGUUCUUCUGCUAGUUGGAAUAAAAUCUUUGCUGAUGUAUUCUGACCUUCCGUGUAUGUGGUGAUGCAUUACGCCUGGGAGUCAUGGUGAUGCAUUACGCCUGGGAGUCAUGGUGAUGCAUUACGCCUGGGAGU
This is a long non-coding RNA of Oncorhynchus tshawytscha (Chinook salmon), 1175 nucleotides long. Lineage: Eukaryota; Metazoa; Chordata; Actinopteri; Salmoniformes; Salmonidae. The record is from Ensembl.